Otolemur garnettii (small-eared galago) is the source of this 1784-nucleotide RNA transcript. It is a transcript of the gene named HLA class I histocompatibility antigen, A-11 alpha chain-like, with no coding region annotated. The transcript is spliced from 8 exons. The record is from RefSeq and is a predicted model, not a curated record. Lineage: Eukaryota; Metazoa; Chordata; Mammalia; Primates; Galagidae.
GCUCAGGAGAUAGCGUGACAAACAGUCCUUGGUGCAGGAGAAGCAGGGUCAGGGCAAAGCCCCAGGUUCUGGCUGUGGCUUUCAGGGUCUCAGUCCUAACAGCGGUUUCAGAGAGGGGAAGAAGCCAAUCAGCGUCGCCGCGGUUACCGGUUAUUAAGACUCCACAGAGCUACCCGGACUCAGCCUCUCCUCAGACCAGAAGAUGGGGGUCACGGUGCCCCAAACCCUCCUCCUGCUGCUGUCGGCGGCCCUGGUCCUGACUGAAGCCUGGGCGGGUGAGUGCGGGGCUGGAAGGGAAAUGGUCUCUGCGAGGAGUGCGAGGGGACCUUCCGGCGGGGACGCAGGUCCGGGAAGUCGCGCCGGGAGGAGGGUCGCGCCGGGUCUCAGCCCCUCUCGCCCCCCAGGGUCCCACUCCAUGAGGUAUUUCUCCACCGCCGUGUCCCGGCCCGGCCGCGGGGAGCCCCGGUUCAUUUCCGUCGGCUACGUGGACGACACGCAGUUCGUGCGGUUCGACAGCGACGCGGAGAAUCCAAGGGAGGAGCCGCGGGCGCCGUGGAUAGAGCGGGAGGGGCCGGAGUAUUGGGACGAGCAGACACGGCGCGCCAAGGGCGCUGCACAGACUUUCCGAGUGAGCCUGGAGAACCUGCGCCGCUAUUACAACCAGAGCGAGGACGGGUCUCACACCCUCCAGGAGAUGUACGGCUGCGACGUGGGGCCGGACGGGCGCCUCCUCCGCGGGUAUCAGCAGCACGCCUACGACGGCGCCGACUACAUCGCCCUGAACGAGGACCUGCGCUCCUGGACCGCGGCGGACCCGGCGGCUCAGAUCACCCAGCGCAAGUGGGAGGCGGAGGGUGCGUCGGAGGGAGACAGGGCCUACCUGGAGGAGGAGUGUGUGGACUGGCUCCGCAGAUACCUGGAGAACGGGAAGGACACCCUGCAGCGCGCGGAUCCCCCAGAGACACGUGUGACCCACCACCCCACCUCUGACCAUGAGGCCACCCUGAGGUGCUGGGCCCAGGGCUUCUACCCGGCAGAGAUCACACUGACCUGGCAGCGGGAUGGGGAGGAUCAGACUCAGGACAUGGAGCUUAUAGAGACCAGGCCUGCAGGAGAUGGAACGUUCCAGAAGUGGGCAGCUGUGGUGGUGCCUUCUGGAGAAGAGCAGAGAUACACAUGCCAUGUGCAGCAUGAGGGGCUGCCAGAGCCCCUCAUCCUGAGAUGGGUGCUGCUUCCCAGCCCAGCAUGCUCAUGGUGGGCAUGGUUGCUGGCCUGGUUCUCCUUGGAACUCUGUUGACUGGAGCUGUGGUUGUGAUGUGGAGGAAGAAGAGCUCAGGUAGAAAAAGAGGAAACUACACUCAAGCUGCAAUUAGUGACAAUGCCCAGGGAUUGGAUGUGUCUCUCACAGCUUGUAAAACCUGAGACAGCUGCCUUGUGUGGGACUAGUGUUCAUGCCUCUCCUUUGUGACUUCAAGAGCCUCUGACUUCUGCAAAUGCUUCUGAAUGAUUCUGCAUCCCUGUUUGUCUAAUGUGAGGAGUGGUGAAGGCAGCCUUCCCCUCUGUCCAUGGUGACCCUUUCUCCCACACUGACCUGUGUCCCUUCCUGAUCAUCUUUGCUGUUGCAGAGAGGUGGGGGUGGGACGUCUCCAUCUCUGUCUGAACUUCAUGGUGUGCUAAGUUGCUUCCCUACUGAAAAUAGGAAUUUGAAUAUAAAUUUGUUUUUUCAAAUUCUUCCCAUGAGAGCGGCAAGAGGGGAAAUAAAAUGAAGACCUGAGAACCUUCCA